CCAUCAAACAUGAAACUCAUAAGGGAUGUUGUUACUUUGCCUUUCACAUUUGCAAUAUCAGCACAAAUGCAAUAACAUAGUAAUUCACGUCUAACUAAAUUGAUUGCUCUAAGCAACUGAGAGGUACUGCUCAUGGCAAGAUAUUCACUCGUCUUGACAUUCUAAAGACAGAAGUAAAUCGAAGCAUUGAAUGUCAUUGAUUCAAAUCUACAACCUUAAGAAAAGCUAAUAUCCUUUCAUUUGAUCAUUUUGAAGCUACAAUAGGAAAAUUAACAUGGAUCAUCAUAACUUAUGCGACAAAUGGCAUUCCCACUCCCAAAAGUCACGUCGAGUUGCUGCUCUUUCCGAUUUAGUUAGAAUACCAACUUUAUAUACCUUUAGUAUUUAGUUCUUAGAAAUGCAGAAAGAGUGGGAUAAAAACACACAUUCGUUUAUGAAGGCAAAUAUUGUUUUAUAGAAGAUUCAAAGUUCUUGCAAGUUCCUUUAAGCAGCAAAAUGAACUUCUUACAGCUUCAUUGAAGAGUUGCAUGCUGCACAUUACCAGAUAGAAAAGGAAAAAGGUGCCAGACUGGUAGAUUACAGAUGAAUGAUUCUGUAAUCACUCACUUGCAGUUCUCUAUAUCUUGUCUUAAAUCUUUCCAGUCCAUCUUUAGUAGUGAAUUACUAACUCUUAACAAAGCUUCUAAAUGAUAAUUUCCUUCGUAUAUCUCUUGAAAAGCUAAUCAUACAUUCAACUUCUAAGUGAAGCAGAGGAUAUUUAAAACAAAGAACAGGAAGCAUAUUAUCACUCUUUUGGCAAGAAACAAUAUGAGACUCCAGUAGAAACUCAUUGAUGAAUGAGCAUCUAGUUUGGCAUGAAGAAGAUAUGGAGCAAUGCAGAUCAUACCUGUGGCCUAUCAUGAAACGCACAACGAUCCCCUUUUCUCGCUCUAAUCUAUGUAGCUUUGCACCUAUGCAAAGAAACAGAAUGUUGUCAAAGGAGGAAGAAAAUGAAAAUGGAAGAAGUAUAUACAUCAAUAAUGUUAUAAUUAACACCUUGAGGCAUCCAAGUCUUUCUAAUAGAAUCGCGCCUUUUUCUACUACUGAAGGUCGUGUUUAUCCCAAUAACCAUAAAUGUCUUCUUUCUGGGCCUACGUCCUCCAGAAUCUGUGCUCAAGGAAGGAACCUCUUCAGUUAUCCGUGGAAUUAGAGGAUCCUUAGUUGAAGGCAGCUCACUUUGAAUCUUAGAAAUUGAAUCAUCCAGCGAUCUGUUCAAUGCUCCGAUAAAUAGAAGGACCAUCAAGAACAGAACUAAGUAAAACAUCAUAAGUUUUGAACAACACUUCUUCUCUACUUCUCUUUUUAGCAUAAGUUUGUAAAAACAAGGUGAAGCUCACAAAAAUAAUAAUUUAUAAACAUAUUUUUUAUGUGGUGUAACAUAUAUUGUCAUGUUAAGUACAAAAAAUAAAGUGUAAGGUAAUCACAUUAAAACUCUGAAACACACUGGAUAGGUACUUGGGCUUUGUUAAACUUUCCCAUCAUCUCCUCCUUCUGCUCAUAAAACAUCAUCCAUAUUUAGAAAACUGCAAUAAUAACUAUAACAAUGACAAAAAAAAAAGUUCUAUUCUUUGUUUGUUGGGGGGUGGGGGGUUGGAAACAAAAUUAAUUUUACCGUCUUAUCAACAUCAUGUAUUAGCACAAUUAAAUAAUGUAUUAGCACCAUUCAUUCCAGAAUCUCAUAAAAAAUAGUAUACAGUAACAAAAAUGUCCACUUUCACUUAUGCUUAGCUUUUACCACUUAAAGAAGAUUAUUUUUUGCCGUUUACAUCUUCAGCUUCACAUUUAUUUCUUUUUUCACACCUCAAUUUUCGUGAUUUCUUAAUUUGGUUUCAUAGUUUUACAUGUGUUCGGUCAAGAGGUCAUUUUACUUGCACAAAGUUUCCAAGGUAAUUGACAUUUUCUUUUUCGUCCAGAGUUGUUGAUAGUGAAGCUUCACCCAAGUGCAAUCCAAUGGCUACUAUUCAUGUGCAUUUCACUUCUCUUUUUCAUUAAAAACAAUCCUUCCUUUCUAAUGCUUUCUUUUUACCAUUCUUAUACUCAUAAGUUUACUUGAUUGACAUGCCAAAAAAGAAAGAUCUCAUAGCAACAAUACAUAUUAUCAAUGGAGAUAUGGUAGCAUUUACUUACUUCAAAUAGAUGUAUGAUUCUAAAAUCAGCAUGUCCUUCUCAAGUCUGACUUUCUCUUUUUCAUUGAGAGGAGGGUGAGCAACUUUAAACCUACUAAUACAUAAUAUUUCAACUUAUCCUUUAGCUGGUUUUGUAAUAAGCUCUCAAAAAAGUGUAACGAUUAUGCCCUUCUUGCUCUAUAAAAAUUGGCAGAAAAAGAGACUGCAAAAACAUCUUAGUACAUAAAAAAUGAUUAUUAUUUUAUCAAGAGUACAUAAAAAUAACUAAUGCAAUCCAGUUUGUUGGGUAAUCCAACAACUUUCAUCAGUUUAGAUGGUUCUACUCUUUUUGUUCUGAACCUAAAGUGAUGUUAUAACUUGAACUUCUAUUUUUGAACUUAGUACAAACUUCUUCAGGAUUAAAUUCAAUAACAUGAUCUGAAUACAAUAAAGUGCACCAAAAGAAGAGAUGGAAACUUUUGGUGACUGAGCUUAUCUCUCAAACAUAAAUGUAAUAUCACUCAAUUUAGAGAUACCUCGAAAAUUACGAAGUUGUAAACUGCCUCUAGAACAGGUGAGAAAAUGUGCAACAUACUGUGUCUGAAUCUCUCAUGGCUUAUCUAUGACUUAGUAUCGUGAAAGAUACAGUUUGCACAAGUGAAUCAAUCUCCCACAUUUAUAUCCAAAUGCACCAUUUAGCUCUAGAAAAAACCUUUCCUAUUCUGAUACAAAGUAAACUUUCAUGCUGCUAUUUAAAAUUUCAAUUAAAAGAAACAAAAAAAAGAAGACAAAAGAAAACACUUAUGCUACACUUGUUCUUAUCAUGUUGGGCAUCAAGUUAAAACCAUACUCCUGGGCCCGUGAUAUAUCUACCCAAGAUUGAAAAGUAUAGAAACCAUCAAACAUGAAACUCAUAAGGGAUGUUGUUACUUUGCCUUUCACAUUUGCAAUAUCAGCACAAAUGCAAUAACAUAGUAAUUCACGUCUAACUAAAUUGAUUGCUCUAAGCAACUGAGAGGUACUGCUCAUGGCAAGAUAUUCACUCGUCUUGACAUUCUAAAGACAGAAGUAAAUCGAAGCAUUGAAUGUCAUUGAUUCAAAUCUACAACCUUAAGAAAAGCUAAUAUCCUUUCAUUUGAUC
This 3285-nucleotide long non-coding RNA is filed under the name Solanum tuberosum (potato). RNAcentral's name for it is "long non-coding RNA (STUB_LNC004435)". The record is from RNAcentral. Lineage: Eukaryota; Viridiplantae; Streptophyta; Magnoliopsida; Solanales; Solanaceae.